UACGUAGGGUGCGAGCGUUGUCCGGAAUUAUUGGGCGUAAAGGGCUCGUAGGCGGUUUGUCGCGUCGGGAGUGAAAUCUCCCGGCUUAACUGGGAGGGUGCGCCGAAGACUGCGAUGCUGGAGUAUGGGAGAGGAAAGCGGAAUUCCUGGUGUAGCGGUGAAAUGCGUAGAUAUCAGGAGGAACACCUGCGG
This 192-nucleotide ribosomal RNA is filed under the name uncultured prokaryote. Its description in RNAcentral is "partial 16S ribosomal RNA". It matches the Rfam family "Bacterial small subunit ribosomal RNA", at positions 524 to 715 of the family's 1533-position model. The record is from RNAcentral.